AUUGAACGCUGGCGGCAUGCCUUACACAUGCAAGUCGAACGGUAACAGGUCUUCGGAUGCUGACGAGUGGCGAACGGGUGAGUAAUACAUCGGAACGUGCCCAGACGUGGGGGAUAACGAGGCGAAAGCUUUGCUAAUACCGCAUACGAUCUAAGGAUGAAAGCAGGGGACCGCAAGGCCUUGUGCGUUUGGAGCGGCCGAUGGCAGAUUAGGUAGUUGGUGGGAUAAAAGCUUACCAAGCCGACGAUCUGUAGCUGGUCUUAGAGGACGACCAGCCACACUGGGACUGAGACACGGCCCAGACUCCUACGGGAGGCAGCAGUGGGGAAUUUUGGACAAUGGGCGAAAGCCUGAUCCAGCAAUGCCGCGUGCAGGAUGAAGGCCUUCGGGUUGUAAACUGCUUUUGUACGGAACGAAAAGGCUCUGGCUAAUACCUGGGGCACAUGACGGUACCGUAAGAAUAAGCACCGGCUAACUACGUG
This 482-nucleotide ribosomal RNA is filed under the name uncultured bacterium. Its description in RNAcentral is "partial 16S ribosomal RNA". It matches the Rfam family "Bacterial small subunit ribosomal RNA", at positions 30 to 507 of the family's 1533-position model. The record is from RNAcentral.